This 511-nucleotide ribosomal RNA is filed under the name Streptococcus dysgalactiae subsp. equisimilis. Its description in RNAcentral is "bacterial SSU rRNA". It matches the Rfam family "Bacterial small subunit ribosomal RNA", at positions 20 to 513 of the family's 1533-position model. Lineage: Bacteria; Bacillati; Bacillota; Bacilli; Lactobacillales; Streptococcaceae. The record is from RNAcentral.
UGGCUCAGGACGAACGCUGGCGGCGUGCCUAAUACAUGCAAGUAGAACGCUGAGGACUGGUGCUUGCACCGGUCCAAGGAGUUGCGAACGGGUGAGUAACGCGUAGGUAACCUACCUCAUAGCGGGGGAUAACUAUUGGAAACGAUAGCUAAUACCGCAUAAAAGUGUUUAACCCAUGUUAAACAUUUAAAAGGUGCAACUGCAUCACUAUGAGAUGGACCUGCGUUGUAUUAGCUAGUUGGUGAGGUAACGGCUCACCAAGGCGACGAUACAUAGCCGACCUGAGAGGGUGAUCGGCCACACUGGGACUGAGACACGGCCCAGACUCCUACGGGAGGCAGCAGUAGGGAAUCUUCGGCAAUGGACGGAAGUCUGACCGAGCAACGCCGCGUGAGUGAAGAAGGUUUUCGGAUCGUAAAGCUCUGUUGUUAGAGAAGAAUGAUGGUGGGAGUGGAAAAUCCACCAUGUGACGGUAACUAACCAGAAAGGGACGGCUAACUACGUGCCAGCA